This 377-nucleotide ribosomal RNA is filed under the name uncultured eukaryote. RNAcentral describes it as "partial 18S ribosomal RNA". It matches the Rfam family "Eukaryotic small subunit ribosomal RNA", at positions 592 to 977 of the family's 1831-position model. The record is from RNAcentral.
UGUAAGCGUAUACCAAAGUUGUUGCAGUUAAAACGCUCGUAGUCGGAUUUUGGCGUAAUCCUUCUCCUUGCCCUGAUUGGGUUUAGGUGGAAGGCGCGCCUUUGUGGAUGGAGUGGAAGUGUUUCUUAAUUGAUCCAUUCUGCUUCGCCACUGUUUACUGUGAAAAAAUUAGAGUGUUCAAAGCGAGCGAUUGCCAUGAAUACAUUAGCAUGGAAUAAUAGAAUAGGACUUAGUCCCGUUUUGUUGGUUUGUCGGUAUUAGGUAAUGAUUAAGAGGGACGGUCGGGGGCAUUUGUAUUCCAGGGUUAGAGGUGAAAUUCUUGGAUCCUUGGAAGACAAACAGCUGCGAAAGCGUCUGCCAAGGACGUUUUCAUUGAC